RNAcentral lists this long non-coding RNA (464 nucleotides) under Manihot esculenta (cassava). RNAcentral describes it as "long non-coding RNA (MESC_LNC000732)". Lineage: Eukaryota; Viridiplantae; Streptophyta; Magnoliopsida; Malpighiales; Euphorbiaceae. The record is from RNAcentral.
UUCUUCAGAAGAUACAGCUGACGGGCCUCCAACGUGACAGUCCCCUCUAGGCAUAGGGAAAUCAUCUUCCCCAUAUAACACCGGCUCGCCGUCAGAGUCCACUUCGGCCAUACGAAGCUUUUCCAGAGGAGUAUCAGGAGCAUGCCUAGCUUCCCUUAUGCCGCGAUUGUAACCGGUUACGUACAUGCGGAAGGCUUUCCGUAGAACAGCAGCUUUCAUGUCUGCAGAGGCUUUAUAUUCAUCAAGAUGUGAUUCACAGGCCUCAGCUAUAAAUGCCUUCAACUCAGGAGAAUCCUUGUAGUCCUGAAGGUAAGCUUCACAGGCCUGCUCAAUCUUUCUUUUCAGCUCCUCCGACUCCUGAUAUUCCGCUAGACACCUCUCGCGUUCUAGCAGGACCUUGCCUUCAGCAUGUUUCACCACCUCGAGCAGGGCUGAACAUUUACGUUCCAAAGUCCUGACUUCAU